RNAcentral lists this ribosomal RNA (253 nucleotides) under uncultured bacterium. Its description in RNAcentral is "partial 16S ribosomal RNA". It matches the Rfam family "Bacterial small subunit ribosomal RNA", at positions 524 to 776 of the family's 1533-position model. The record is from RNAcentral.
AACGUAGGUGGCAAGCGUUAUCCGGAUUUACUGGGCGUAAAGGGUGCGUAGGCGGGUCUUUAAGUCAGGGGUGAAAUCCUGGAGCUCAACUCCAGAACUGCCUUUGAUACUGAGGAUCUUGAGUUCGGGAGAGGUGAGUGGAACUGCGAGUGUAGAGGUGAAAUUCGUAGAUAUUCGCAAGAACACCAGUGGCGAAGGCGGCUCACUGGCCCGAUACUGACGCUGAGGCACGAAAGCGUGGGGAGCAAACAGG